GCCGAGGACAAGCUCCUAUGUGAGUGUUGGAGGGACAUUGGGCAAGACCCCUAGACCGACGCUGAACAAAAGGCAUCAACCUUUUGGACUCGUGUCCAUCGUGAGUUCCAUGAACGCAAGAAGUUUCAGCCGUACCAAAUGCAAAGCACGCGCGGGUGGGUAUCCAUUUCUAAGCGAUGGAAGGUGAUCCAACAAGAGUGCAACAAGUUUCGUGCCACUCUUGAGAGCAUCAAGGCACACCCGUGA
RNAcentral lists this ribosomal RNA (246 nucleotides) under Triticum aestivum (bread wheat). Its description in RNAcentral is "partial small subunit ribosomal RNA". The record is from RNAcentral. Lineage: Eukaryota; Viridiplantae; Streptophyta; Magnoliopsida; Poales; Poaceae.